AUUGAACGCUGGCGGCAUGCCUUACACAUGCAAGUCGAACGGCAGCAUGGGUGCUUGCACCUGAUGGCGAGUGGCGAACGGGUGAGUAAUGCAUCGGAACGUACCCGGAAGUGGGGGAUAACGUAGCGAAAGUUACGCUAAUACCGCAUAUUCUGUGAGCAGGAAAGAGGGGGAUCGCAAGACCUCUCGCUUUCGGAGCGGCCGAUGUCAGAUUAGCUAGUUGGUGGGGUAAAAGCCUACCAAGGCAACGAUCUGUAGCGGGUCUGAGAGGAUGAUCAGCCACAUUGGGACUGAGACACGGCCCAAACUCCUACGGGAGGCAGCAGUGGGGAAUAUUGGACAAUGGGCGAAAGCCUGAUCCAGCCAUGCCGCGUGAGUGAUGAAGGCCCUAGGGUUGUAAAGCUCUUUUGUGCGGGAAGAUAAUGACGGUACCGCAAGAAUAAGCCCCGGCUAACUUCGUGCCAGCAGCCGCGGUAA
Molecule: ribosomal RNA, 477 nt
Filed under: uncultured bacterium
Lineage: Bacteria
Description: bacterial SSU rRNA
Rfam family: Bacterial small subunit ribosomal RNA
Source: RNAcentral